UGACCACAGAGCUCAGGCUGGCAGG
This 25-nucleotide non-coding RNA is filed under the name Mus musculus (house mouse). The record is from RNAcentral. Lineage: Eukaryota; Metazoa; Chordata; Mammalia; Rodentia; Muridae.